CAAUAGCGUAUAUUAAAGUUGUUGCGGUAAAAAAGCUCGUAGUUGGAUUUCUGUCGAACUGAUCGGGUCGCCUUUAUGAGGUUGUAUCUCGCUUCGGUUUGGCAUCCUCGUAGGGAACGUUGCUGCGCUUCACUGCGUGGUGCGGUAUCUACGACUUUUACUUUGAGGAAAUUAGAGUGUUCAAAGCAGGCCUACGCUCUGAAUACAUUAGCAUGGAAUAACACGAUAGGACUCUGGCCUAUCUUGUUGGUCUGUAGGACCGGAGUAAUGAUUAAGAGGGACAGUCGGGGGCAUUCGUAUUUCAUUGUCAGAGGUGAAAUUCUUGGAUUUAUGAAAGACGAACUACUGCGAAAGCAUUUGCCAAGGAUGUUUUCAUUAA
This 379-nucleotide ribosomal RNA is filed under the name uncultured eukaryote. RNAcentral describes it as "partial 18S ribosomal RNA". It matches the Rfam family "Eukaryotic small subunit ribosomal RNA", at positions 592 to 976 of the family's 1831-position model. The record is from RNAcentral.